This 1814-nucleotide long non-coding RNA is filed under the name Calidris pygmaea (Spoon-billed sandpiper). Its description in RNAcentral is "lncRNA (ENSCPGG00000006506.1)". The record is from RNAcentral. Lineage: Eukaryota; Metazoa; Chordata; Aves; Charadriiformes; Scolopacidae.
AAUGGUUUGGGCUCUGGAGAGAUAUGACUAGAAAAUUAAUUUUCCCUAUGGAAAGAAUUGCAUCCAUUUUCCUAUGUUUUUUUUUUUUUUCAGCUCUUUAGCCCUCUUCAGACCAUACUGGCCCGCUAGUGAGUAUUCUAGGAGUUUGGCAGAAGGUAUGCAGAGCCAGACUUUGCUGCUCCUCUCUUCUUUCUGGAUGCUUUCCUACAAAUACUAAAAAGCAACUCUGUAAUAUCAUAGCAUUUCUUCUCACAAGCAUCUAUGCAUGUUUUCUUGUUAGUAAGCACCAUAUGUCACUCUCUAAACGGCCCAGUACUGUAUUUUCUGGGACCCAAGUGUGCGUGGUAAGUAACAUCACAGCUCCUCCAUAUGAUGUACCAGCUAUACAUUACACAAAACUUUAAUAAACAAGUCACUUUCAAUCAUUUCCCCCCUUUCAGAAAUGCAUUUAUAUAUGUGUUUUCUUACCCAUGGUGAAGAAGUGUUUAGAAUAUGUAAUAUGUCAUUAAGGGUAACAGAUGUAUUUAAUAAAGGCUUUUUUGGAUGUCUGACUGUUCAUUGGGAUAAAACCUUGAAGUCAGGGCAGUCAGUUCUGAAAGGCAACAGUCAAUAAAAAAAUUAUUAAAAAACCCCCAAACAACCUGAAACCCAUGCCACUAUCCCUGAGUGAAAAUCUACAAUGAAAUGAAUCACCCUUUUAACUAAUUGAAAAAUUCUUUAGACGCUUUUCUCCUACAGCAACUGGGCCAGCAUUCGGCUGAUUGAUGGGGCUUGUGAAAUGAUCUUUAGGACUUUCCACUCUGAUCAAAAGCCUUCCCAACUCCUAAAGGUCCAGCUGGCCCGGAGAUGGAGCGAGGGAUGUCUUCAUAGAUCCCUGGGAUGCAUUCAAAAAUGCAGUCUUUCUUUCAGCAAUGCCUCCUUUCAGACUUUCUUUCCUGGCACACUUUUCCUAUAACCUGCCUUAUCUACACUCUUUGCGAGCUUUUUUACAGACGACCAUCUAUUUUUUUGUGCUGUCUGGUGCCGGAUAUGAGUACUGUUUGUUGGCCCUUUGAUCACAGCGUAGUAAAGAUAGUAGCAAUAAUCUCAUGGUUUAAAGAGGCAGCUUGCCUGAAUUUAUUGUCGUGGUAUAAAAUCUGUUAAAAGAUCACUUUUUGCAUUGAACGCAACCUUGUGAGUUGAGAGCCGUUUAACGGCUCAAAGACAGUUGUGUUUUCCAUGGUUGUUUCACAUUUUUUACAUAGAACUAAAAAUGGAUGGUUGUAAUAUGCAAUGUGCUUAGCUACGUGGUGGUCGUGUGCCGUUACCAUCUCACAAACACCUUUGGCUGCUGAAAGCCUUCCUCCCUCUGCCUCUGGUUUUGCAUUUUCACCAUAGCCAGGAGUCACCACCAGCACAGCUCUGCCAGAGAGCUGUAUCCAGGGGAGUAAAGGCACACUCCUCUGCUUCAGGCAGGUUCUGCCGGGGCAGUUCAAACAGCUGGCAAAGGACUAACCAGUGCACUUUGUCUCGGGCAGAUGAGGAAAACAGCAGCACAACGCCAAUUUAUGGAGCUACGGGAAGAGCCCUGAUUUCUGGGAAUGCCCAUUCCAGAUGCCUGGCAUCUUUAGCCUGCAGAGCCAGGUCUGGAAGAGGGUGUUUACCGGCAGCCUCUAAAAUAAUGACUGUUUUCUGAGGCUACCAUCACGCGGUCCUUGUAGCAAUGGCUUUGUGGCACUUGAAGAUGUCCAUUCCCACCCGUAAACUGGAAAUUACCCUCUUCCUGGUACAGCUCAGAUGUCAGAAUAAAUAAUCUGGGCCCUCCUUGUGUUUCA